RNAcentral lists this ribosomal RNA (496 nucleotides) under uncultured bacterium. RNAcentral's name for it is "partial 16S ribosomal RNA". It matches the Rfam family "Bacterial small subunit ribosomal RNA", at positions 29 to 507 of the family's 1533-position model. The record is from RNAcentral.
AUGAACGCUGGCGGCGUGCCUAAUCCAUGCAAGUCGAGCGAACGGACGAGAAGCUUGCUUCUCUGAUGUUAGCGGCGGACGGGUGAGUAACACGUGGAUAACCUACCUAUAAGACUGGGAUAACUUCGGGAAACCGGAGCUAAUACCGGAUAAUAUUUUGAACCGCAUGGUUCAAAAGUGAAAGACGGUCUUGCUGUCACUUAUAGAUGGAUCCGCGCUGCAUUAGCUAGUUGGUAAGGUAACGGCUUACCAAGGCAACGAUGCAUAGCCGACCUGAGAGGGUGAUCGGCCACACUGGAACUGAGACACGGUCCAGACUCCUACGGGAGGCAGCAGUAGGGAAUCUUCCGCAAUGGGCGAAAGCCUGACGGAGCAACGCUGCGUGAGUGAUGAAGGUCUUCGGAUCGUAAAACUCUGUUAUUAGGGAAGAACAUAUGUGUAAGUAACUGUGCACAUCUUGACGGUACCUAAUCAGAAAGCCACGGCUAACUACGUG